This 172-nucleotide ribosomal RNA is filed under the name uncultured bacterium. RNAcentral describes it as "partial 16S ribosomal RNA". It matches the Rfam family "Bacterial small subunit ribosomal RNA", at positions 1328 to 1500 of the family's 1533-position model. The record is from RNAcentral.
GGAAUUGCUAGCAAUGGCAGGUCAGCAUACUGCCGUGAAUACGUUCCCGGGCCUUGUACACACCGCCCGUCACACCAUGAGAGUUGGGAUACCCGAAGCCUGUGAGCUAACAGUAAUGGAGCAGCAGUCGAAGGUAGAAUCAAUGAUUGGGGUGAAGUCGUAACAAGGUACC